RNAcentral lists this unclassified non-coding RNA (211 nucleotides) under Pseudomonas extremaustralis. RNAcentral describes it as "Pseudomonas sRNA P29". Lineage: Bacteria; Pseudomonadati; Pseudomonadota; Gammaproteobacteria; Pseudomonadales; Pseudomonadaceae. The record is from RNAcentral.
AAACUACAAGGGGAGCCGAAGCUCCCCCAGAAGUAGUUGCGUGCUCUAUUUUUAUUAUUGGUUUCGGGCUUCUUGUUUUUGUUGAUCGCCCUCGCCAUGAAGUAUGACCUUCAUGACACUCCCAAUCGGGAGUCAAGAGCAAACGGAUUGCUUUGGUCGCUGUGUUGCUGAUCUACGAUCCAACCAGUUCAGGCUCUGCCUUAGGGCAGUU